AAGUCCUGCUGGGGGUGCCCGCGCCGGAGUCAGCCGACGGCUCGGAGGCGGUGCUGAGAGAGUCCCUUGGAACCUGAUCCGGGUAAUACCGGCGGAGGGAAGCUGGGCGGAGGUCGC
Molecule: non-coding RNA, 117 nt
Filed under: Thioflavicoccus mobilis
Lineage: Bacteria; Pseudomonadati; Pseudomonadota; Gammaproteobacteria; Chromatiales; Chromatiaceae
Also listed under: 1 other name
Description: TPP sequence
Rfam family: TPP riboswitch aptamer (THI element)
About the family: Vitamin B(1) in its active form thiamin pyrophosphate (TPP) is an essential coenzyme that is synthesised by coupling of pyrimidine and thiazole moieties in bacteria. The previously detected thiamin-regulatory element, thi box was extended, resulting in a new, highly conserved RNA secondary structure, the THI element, which is widely distributed in eubacteria and also occurs in some archaea. Analysis of operon structures identified a large number of new candidate thiamin-regulated genes, mostly transporters, in various prokaryotic organisms.
Source: RNAcentral